Molecule: unclassified non-coding RNA, 203 nt
Filed under: rhizosphere metagenome
Description: partial ribosomal RNA internal transcribed spacer region
Source: RNAcentral
GUAGGUGAACCUGCGGAAGGAUCAUUCAUAAUGAGUGUUUUAUGGCACUUUUUAAAUCCAUAUCCACCUUGUGUGCAAUGUCGGUCGAUCUUCUUUAUGGAGACUUGACCAAACAUCAACCAUAUCUUUUAACUCUUUGUCUGAAAAAUAUUAUGAAUAAACAAUUCAAAAUACAACUUUCAACAACGGAUCUCUUGGCUCUC